AUCCAGCCGACAAGUUCCACAUAGGACGAAACGAGGGUCCUGGAU
This 45-nucleotide non-coding RNA is filed under the name Schistosoma mattheei. Lineage: Eukaryota; Metazoa; Platyhelminthes; Trematoda; Strigeidida; Schistosomatidae. The record is from RNAcentral.